Molecule: non-coding RNA, 2198 nt
Organism: Monodelphis domestica (gray short-tailed opossum)
Lineage: Eukaryota; Metazoa; Chordata; Mammalia; Didelphimorphia; Didelphidae
Source: RefSeq, a predicted model, not a curated record
CAGUAAACACUCGUCCUUUGUCUGGGCCCUGGGGGAGGGGAUGGGGGGCCCUCGGGCUGUCAGCACCCCCCUCCCCCUUCCGGGAAAACCAACCAGUCAGACUGGUUUGGGCUAGGCAGAGGCUAGGGUCCCGGCUCGGACGGCCCCUCCUUCCCCAAGCCGCGCGGAGCUCCGGUUACCCCGGAGCCGUCCCUGAGCCCCACAGCCUCCAUCUCCCAUCCUGGGGCUCCCCAGAAGUGCAUUUCCUGCAGCGGCCAGGACCAGGAGGCUCCGCGCCGGCCGCGCUCCGUCCCGCGGGCAGGUGGCUGGAGGACAUGGGCGCCGCGGAGCCCCGGCUAGGACCAGGGGAGCCCCGGGGAUACCAGCAGCUUCCUGUUUUCAGGCCUCCUCUCUGCAGUUCAUUCUGAAAGGCUCCGUUCUGGAAUCACCUCCAUAAAGCCUUCUUUAAGCCGUCUUCCACUCCGACCCCUACCCAGGUUCCCUGCAGAGUCCUCUUCCUUCCCCAAUUUUCUGGGAGAGUGCCCAGCCCUUUAUCGGGGACACACAGUACCUGCAAAGUUUCAGGGGAACAUGCCGUAUGGCCUCUUGUAGGCUCCACAGCAAGGAUUUCUUUGCUGAUUUCUAGGUGGCCAGAAUCUAGCACAAUACUUGGCAAGGUCUAAGGUCUUAAGUUCCAUCUACUUCUGCCCUUUGGUUCUGGAUCUCUAGAGCCUGAGGCGGGGCAGGACAAUAAUAGAACUGGAUGAGAGCAACCCAUCUCCCAAACCAAAGGACAUCAAUCAGCCUGGUAGAUUUCAUCCCAUGACCCUUGCAGGUGUGGAAGGCCCAGAAGAGACCGAGAAUGGAUGUCUCUCGUACAGCCUCAGAAAUGGCUUAGUCCAACACCAGUUGGGAACGAGGCAGGUGUGGCGAGGGGACUGAGAACCAGAUUUGUUGACACAUCGUUGGCAUUUCCAACACAAGACUCUUGUCACUCCAGGAACUGAUGGGGAGGCAAUACCAGCCAGAGGAUCUGGAUUCAAAUCCUGGCUGGUGACGGUAGCUGUUUCCCCAUCUCUCUUUGCCUCAAAUUGUUCAUGUUAAACAAUGGAUUUGGACUAGAUUGGGCAUCAGGAUGGGCAGGUGCGAGAACCAUGUUUCCAAGAAUUGUGUCCUCUCAUAGCAAUUCUAGGCUGCACUAUCACCUUAAUUUCCACUACACAGUCUUCGGGUGACAACACCCCUUUUCCAAGGAUUUGCCUAAGUGGUCUAUCUUACUGGUAACCACAUGCUCUUGGAAGCUGUCCCAGUAACUAAGGGAAAUGACAGCCUUUGGAUAGAAGCUUGUUUUUCCAGCCUGGGAAGGGCAGGGUCAUGGAUUCUGAGGGGGAACCUCUAUAGAAGAGGGAAGACCCAAACUCAGCAAGGAAAACAUACUUCUUUCAAGAAGGGACUUUUCCUCCAGAAUAGCAGCAGCACAUAGUCAUGACAAGCUAUUUCUUUCCUCAUUCAUGGCAGGGACAGUGGUGCUGGGAAUAUGAUUAGAGGAGUAAUAUAAUCUUUCAACCUGUAUGCCCCAAGGCUUGACACAUCCUUGCAGAUCAAGGAAGGGAAUUUGUCACACUUAGAAGGCAAUGAAAUGAAAGACCAGCUUAGUUUUCACUAGACUGAUGGGGUCAGUCCAACAGGAGUCUCCUAAAACCUGGGGGAAGUGAGAGGUGGUCCCUGGACAAAUUUUACCCAUCUCCAGGGAUCCCCAUGAGGCCUAUACUCAAUACUGCAUUUAAGAAAACCGGUUAUAUAACCGAAAAAUUCCUGAAAAAGUUUGUGUGAACCAAACAAUUUCAAAUGUCCACAAGGACAAGUAGUCUGAAAGGUGUGGGGAGUGCCCCAAAAUACCCAUACCCCUUUGAAUCAGUUUUCACUGGUAGCCAACAAGAGUCCAAGAAGGUAAUGGCUUCCCGGAGUCAAUGCUGGUUUCCAGCUCUGGCUAGCCUCCCUCCCCUUACUCAUUUCAUUUAGCUCGUGCAGUAGUAGCUGGCAGAAAGGUACUCUGGAACUCCUGCUCCUCCAAAAACCCUGGAACCACUGAAAUGCUAAGCUGCAAAGGCCUUCCUACCCUGUGCUGGGGCCUAAGACUAUCCCCAAACUGUCCCAGUUCUUUACUGUUCCCGGCAAGUACAAACUAUCAGCUGGAAAUAAAUGUUUGCUCAGUUGGA